UACGAAGGGGGCUAGCGUUGUUCGGAAUCACUGGGCGUAAAGAGCGCGUAGGCGGAUAUGCCAGUCAGGGGUGAAAUCCCGGGGCCUAACCUCGGAACUGCCUUUGAAACUGCAUAUCUGGAGACUCGGAGGGGAUAGCGGAAUUCCAAAUGUAGGGGUGAAAUCCGUAGAUAUUUGGAGGAACACCGGUGGCGAAGGCGGCUAUCUGGACGAGUACUGACGCUGAGGCGCGAAAGCGUGGGUAGCAAACAGG
This 253-nucleotide ribosomal RNA is filed under the name uncultured bacterium. RNAcentral describes it as "partial 16S ribosomal RNA". It matches the Rfam family "Bacterial small subunit ribosomal RNA", at positions 524 to 776 of the family's 1533-position model. The record is from RNAcentral.